Pteronotus mesoamericanus is the source of this 73-nucleotide non-coding RNA. The record is from the annotation of a RefSeq genome assembly. NCBI's taxonomy places the organism in Eukaryota, Metazoa, Chordata, Mammalia, Chiroptera, Mormoopidae.
GCCCGGAUAGCUCAGUCGGUAGAGUAGCAGGCUUUUAACCUGAGGGCCCAGGGUUCGGGCCCCCGUUUGGGCG